RNAcentral lists this ribosomal RNA (253 nucleotides) under uncultured bacterium. RNAcentral's name for it is "partial 16S ribosomal RNA". It matches the Rfam family "Bacterial small subunit ribosomal RNA", at positions 524 to 776 of the family's 1533-position model. The record is from RNAcentral.
GACGUAGGAUGCAAGCGUUGUCCGGAUUUAUUGGGCGUAAAGAGUUCGUAGGCGGUUUGUUAAGUCUGAUGUUAAAGACUGGGGCUCAACCUCGGAAAUGCAUUGGAUACUGGCAGACUCGAGUGCAGUAGAGGCAAGUGGAAUUCCAGGUGUAGCGGUGAAAUGCGUAGAUAUCGGGAGGAACACCAGUGGCGAAGGCGACUACCUGGCCUGUUCUUGACGCUGAGGCGCGAAAGCUAGGGGAGCAAACGGG